RNAcentral lists this ribosomal RNA (301 nucleotides) under uncultured bacterium. RNAcentral describes it as "partial 16S ribosomal RNA". It matches the Rfam family "Bacterial small subunit ribosomal RNA", at positions 509 to 807 of the family's 1533-position model. The record is from RNAcentral.
CAGUCGCCACGGGAAUACGAAGGGGGCUAGCGUUGUUCGGAUUUACUGGGCGUAAAGCGCACGUAGGCGGAUCGAUCAGUCAGGGGUGAAAUCCCAGAGCUCAACUCUGGAACUGCCUUUGAUACUGUCGAUCUGGAGUAUGGAAGAGGUGAGUGGAAUUCCGAGUGUAGAGGUGAAAUUCGUAGAUAUUCGGAGGAACACCAGUGGCGAAGGCGGCUCACUGGUCCAUUACUGACGCUGAGGUGCGAAAGCGUGGGGAGCAAACAGGAUUAGAUACCCCGGUAGUCCCUGUCUCUUAUAC